UACGGAGGAUGCAAGCGUUAUCCGGAAUCAUUGGGCGUAAAGCGUCCGUAGGUAGCGUUUCAAGUCUGCUGUCAAAGCACAAGGCUUAACCUUGUAAAGGCAGUGGAAACUGAAAGAGCUAGAGUGCGGUAGGGGUAGAGGGAAUUCCCAGUGUAGCGGUGAAAUGCGUAGAGAUUGGGAAGAACACCGGUGGCGAAAGCGCUCUACUGGGCCUGCACUGACACUGAGGGACGAAAGCUAGGGGAGCGAAAGGG
This 254-nucleotide ribosomal RNA is filed under the name uncultured bacterium. RNAcentral's name for it is "partial 16S ribosomal RNA". It matches the Rfam family "Bacterial small subunit ribosomal RNA", at positions 524 to 776 of the family's 1533-position model. The record is from RNAcentral.